Long non-coding RNA from Mobula hypostoma (lesser devil ray), 157 nucleotides. RefSeq lists it as uncharacterized. The transcript is spliced from 3 exons. NCBI's taxonomy places the organism in Eukaryota, Metazoa, Chordata, Chondrichthyes, Myliobatiformes, Myliobatidae. The record is from RefSeq and is a predicted model, not a curated record.
GAUGAUAUUUCUCUGACAGAACCUUUCAGUGGGGAGUCAAAGAGUGCUGUAGAUUCCUGGUUGUCCUCAGAUGAAGAAGAUAAUGUGCCAUGUUCUUCCAAGACAAUCCAGAAGAGUAAUUUGACCAACUUGCUAAAUUCUUCACAGCGAAACAAGA